This 403-nucleotide ribosomal RNA is filed under the name Verrucomicrobiota bacterium. RNAcentral's name for it is "Verrucomicrobia bacterium partial 16S ribosomal RNA". It matches the Rfam family "Bacterial small subunit ribosomal RNA", at positions 355 to 776 of the family's 1533-position model. The record is from RNAcentral. Lineage: Bacteria; Pseudomonadati; Verrucomicrobiota.
UGGGGAAUAUUGCACAAUGGGCGGAAGCCUGAUGCAGCAACGCCGCGUGAACGAUGAAGGUCUUCGGAUCGUAAAGUUCUGUUGCAGGGGAAGAUAAUGACGGUACCCUGUGAGGAAGCCCCGGCUAACUACGUGCCAGCAGCCGCGGUAAUACGUAGGGGGCUAGCGUUAUCCGGAUUUACUGGGCGUAAAGGGUGCGUAGGUGGUCUUUCAAGUCGGUGGUUAAAGGCUACGGCUCAACCGUAGUUAGCCUCCGAAACUGGAAGACUUGAGUGCAGGAGAGGAAAGUGGAAUUCCCAGUGUAGCGGUGAAAUGCGUAGAUAUUGGGAGGAACACCAGUAGCGAAGGCGGCUUUCUGGACUGCAACUGACACUGAGGCACGAAAGCGUGGGUAGCAAACAGG